UUCUGGUUGAUCCUACCAGUAGUCAUAUGCUUGUUCUCAAAGAUUAAGCCAUGCCUCGUACGGUGAAACCGCGAAUGGCUCAUGAAAAUCAGUCGAGGUUCCUUAGAUGAUCCAUUUCUACUUGGAUAACUGUGGCAAUUCUAGAGCUAAUACAUGCAAACCAACUCCGACCCGUUAAAGAGGGGAAAGAACGCUUUUAUUAGUUCAAAAUCAGUCGGGUCUCGGCCCCGUUCCUUUUUAAUGACUCUGGAUAACUUUUGUGCCGAUCGCAUGGCCUCGAGCCGGCGAGGCAUCUUUCAAAUGUCUGCCUUAUCAACUGUCGAUGGUACGUGAUAGACCUACCAUGUUGACAACGGGUAACGGGGAAUCAGGGUGUGAUUCCGGAGAGGGAGCAUGAGAAACGGAUACCACAUCCAAGGAAGGCACCAGGCGCGCAACUUACCCACUCCCAGCUCGGGGAGGUAGUGACGAAAAAUAACAAUACGGAACUCUUUUGAGGCUCCGCAAUUGGAAUGAGUACACUUUAAACCCUUUAACGAGGAUCUAUUGGAGGGCAAGUCUGGUGCCAGCAGCCGUGGUAAUUCCAGCUCCAAUAGCGUAUAUUAAAGUCGUUGCGCUUAAAAACUCGUAGUUGCAUCUGAGGCAUGGCCGUGCGGUCCGUCUCGCGACGGUCACUGCGCGAAGCCUGAGCGUGCGCGGCUCUUCGCAGGGUCGUCUUCGCAAGACGAACAACUGCGAAAGCAUUUGCCAAGCAUAUUUUCAUUAGUCAAGAACUAGUCAGAGGUUCGAAGACGAUUAAAUACUGUCAUUGUUCUGACCAUAAACGAUGCCAACUAGCUUUGUGCAAGUGUCGCUUCAUCGACUCUGAAACCAAACUUUUCGGGUUCCAGGGGAAGUAUGGUUGCAAAGCUGAAACUUAAAGGAAUUGACGGAAGGUCACCACCAGGAGUGGAGCCUGUGGCUUAAUUUGAUUCAACACGGUAAAACACACCCACUCCGCACACUGUAAGCAUUGACAGAUUGAUAUCUUUUUCUUGAUUCGGUGGGUGGUGGCGCAUGGCCGUUCUUAGGUGGUGGAGCGAUUUGUCUGAUUAAUUCCGACAACGGGCGAGUCUCUAGCCUGUGAAAUAGUUCACCGAUUCUUCACGCAUCGGUGCUAACUUCUUAGAGGCAGAAGUGGCGUUUAGCCACAAGAGAUUGAGCAAUAACAGGUCUGGCAAAGCAAAGCAGAUGAAAAGAAAUGAAAGAACUUUAGGCGGUGGGAUCACUCGACUCGCACGUCGAUGAAGAACGCAGCCAGUUGCGUGAAUUAAUGUGAAUUGCAGAACACUCUAACCCUUACCAUUUAAAAAAAAAACAACCAAAAAACCAAAAACAAAACAAAACAAAAGCAAACAAACCCGGGGGAGGGCCUAGUGCAAAACUUUUUUUUAACAAAAGUUCCAGGUCGAUGGGAGGGUCUGGUGCAGAGAGGAGGGUCUGGUGCAGAGAGGAGGGUCUGGUGCACAGGUACGGCCUGGUGCAAAACUUUUUUUUAACAAAAGUUCCACUUCGAUGGGAGGGUCUGGUGCAAAGAGGAGGGUCUGGUGCAAAGGGAGGGCCUGGUGCAAAACUUUGAGAAAAAAAUUUGAUUCAUCACUUUCUUCGCUUUGGCAUUAGAAGCUUAUGUGUACCUCGUUUCCUUCAAGUAUACGAAAAGGGCCUGGUCUGAGUGAGGGCCUGGUGCAUAUAGGAAGGUCUGGUGGUAAGUGUGAAUGUGAGUGUAUGCGUUUGUGUAUGCGAAUGUGAUUCGUGACCUAUAAUUUCACAGUUGUCAUGCUCGCACUUGUUUUGUAAGACUUCUGUAACUAAAAUAUGUGUAUGCUCCUUAGCCAAAGGAAUAGGAAAAGAUUAACAUCUUAGAAGUAGUCGUAUGAUACGCCAUUUUUGUCUCGUCUUUCUAUUUUUUCGUAUGCAUGUAUCUCGAGUUAAACAACAUUUGCUGCUUACAAAACAGAGCUGAGGUCAACGUACAAAGUGGUCACGGAGCUCGCCUAUCGCAGGAAGAAUGUUUGCUGCGCAGGGUACACUGAAGAUGGUGAUACAUGUAUCCGUAAGUCCUCCAACUCUUCUGACCUCGUGAUUCUGGUUGCCCUCUGCAUAACUUUGUUUGGAUGGUUGAUUAGGCGUAUCCAACCACAUCGCGCACCUGCAUCCUGUCGCUAGUCGACCCCCUCACACCUUCCCUCUGUCACGUGGCUGUCACCCGGCCAGCGACCACCCGACCCCCACAUCGCCAGCCUCCACCCCCUGUGUGCGUGCUAUGUUCCAUCCCCACUAACUGCGAUGUCGCACACUACCAUACAGUAUAGUAAUCGAGUUUAUUGGCAAAUAGCAUUUGACAAGGCAGGAACAUCAGUGUCAAUGAGAGUGACUAGCGUCUCAAAUUGACUGACAAUAAUGAAGUUUGUGAGAAAAGCUCAUAAAGUUUUUAGUCAGCAGGUAAAAUGACAAUAUUAGUACUGUAUAACUUUGUUCUAUGAACUAUUACGAUUCAGCUAAAAUAUGCUAAACAUUUCUAUUUUUCUGUCAUUUUUACAAAACAUUCUAAUCUCCUUAAAUAUUAAAAGUAUUAACACUUACUAGCUAACUAGUCUUUAAAACAGUUGCUUUGUCUUCUAAAACUCAGCAGGUAUUUUAACGGCUAGUGACUGAUGGGGGUUGAAGUCGACCGAGUUUAUGCUUCGUAAAAAGUUGGAUGAAUUCAAA
RNAcentral lists this ribosomal RNA (2748 nucleotides) under Pomacea canaliculata. Its description in RNAcentral is "SSU rRNA". The stretch from base 3 to 1366 matches the Rfam family "Eukaryotic small subunit ribosomal RNA". Lineage: Eukaryota; Metazoa; Mollusca; Gastropoda; Architaenioglossa; Ampullariidae. The record is from RNAcentral.